GACCAUCAUUUCUCCACCUGAUGUCGAGCAACAUUGUCCAGGAUUGGAAAAUGCUUGAGUUGGAUCAACUUACAGUUUAUCAGAUUUGCAAAAUCUCCUAAAGAUGGCCUUGCUCUCUUCUCCAAGGCUGACGACUGGAAUGGGAACUGAGGACGCAUAAAUUAAAAGACUAAAAAGACCAAUCCUCUUUUUAAUUAAAACAAAGUCCUUUAUUACAUGAGCACUGGCAUUGGUCAAAGCGUGAAGAGCAUCAGGAUGCCUGGCUUUGAAUCCCGAGGUACCACGUGGCAGCACAAAACUCAUCAGAGCUUGUUUGUGACGGAGCUGAGUCCAGAUGAUUGGAGAUGAGUCCACAU
RNAcentral lists this long non-coding RNA (356 nucleotides) under Homo sapiens (human). RNAcentral describes it as "HSALNT0198311". The record is from RNAcentral. Lineage: Eukaryota; Metazoa; Chordata; Mammalia; Primates; Hominidae.